GUGUCUUUGACAGGGUUUUCUACGCCGCUUUUUCGGCGACUUUUUGCUCUUCCGCUUUUUGCCACCGCCCCCAACCUUCUAUAUCCUUGCAGCCCCUACCUUUUCUUGUGUUGCUCCUCCCCUGGCAGCCGUGAGGGGGGUUAGAUCUCAGCCGGAGCCGGAGCUGGGCCUAGCUGUCCCACGGGCCACCACUACCUCCUUUGGUUCGGGAGAAAGCUACGACCAAGUACGCCCAGCUCGGGCCUUAGAACUUCUGAACGGGCAGUGCGGGUAGGCCCUGCUUAGCCCUUCCCGGAGGACACCUGUGAGUUUAGGGGGUUUCGGAGAGGAACGCAGCAGUGUAGGCCCAGGUCGGCGGCGGGGCACGGGAAACUUUUCCGAAACGGUAGCGUUUUGUUUUGCGUGGGAGGUUCCAGCAGUAUCUCUUGGUUAUUCCAAAUUUAUGGGCGGCAUCUGGGCUGCUGUACAUUUUGAAGAAUCUUAGGACCGCUUACUUUGCUUACUCGUUUUCUAUUCCUCGCGUACUGCCUCGUCCACCACUCCAGGACCAAAAGAGGAAGAUAGUCUUGGGACCCUUGCAUGGUGUUUCAAAGGGUGGUGAAGAACUAAGGUAGAAGAAUACAUGUUCACUUCCAGUGAACAAGAGCAUGUUCCCAAACUCAAUUUUGGGUCGCCCACCCUUCACUCCAAAUCAUCAACAACAUAAUAACUUCUUUACCCUGUCACCUACUGUUUAUUCACACCAGCAGCUUAUAGAUGCACAAUUCAACUUUCAGAAUGCAGACUUGUCUAGAGCUGUGUCAUUACAGCAGCUGACAUAUGGAAAUGUCAGUCCAAUACAGACCUCAGCUUCCCCAUUAUUUCGAGGAAGGAAGAGAUUAAGCGAUGAAAAAAACCUUCCUCUUGACGGUAAACGGCAACGUUUCCAUUCACCCCACCAAGAGCCAACUGUAGUUAACCAGAUAGUGCCUUUAUCAGGUGAACGAAGAUACUCAAUGCCACCAUUGUUUCAUACACAUUAUGUACCAGAUAUAGUCAGAUGUGUUCCACCUUUUCGAGAAAUUGCAUUUUUAGAACCUAGAGAAAUCACACUGCCUGAGGCCAAAGAUAAGUUGAGUCAGCAGAUACUGGAGUUAUUUGAAACAUGUCAGCAGCAAAUAAGUGAUUUAAAGAAGAAAGAACUCUGUCGAACACAGCUGCAGAGAGAAAUUCAGCUGUUAUUUCCACAAAGCAGACUUUUUUUGGUUGGGUCCUCUUUAAAUGGAUUUGGUACCCGGAGCAGUGAUGGUGAUUUAUGCCUAGUUGUUAAGGAAGAACCAGUAAGUAAGGAAACAUUUAUUCCAAGUGUGUUUCUCAUGUUAAUGAGUUAAGAAAUUUUACAUAAAAGUCAUUGAGGG
RNAcentral lists this long non-coding RNA (1397 nucleotides) under Homo sapiens (human). Its description in RNAcentral is "long non-coding RNA NONHSAT202795.1". Lineage: Eukaryota; Metazoa; Chordata; Mammalia; Primates; Hominidae. The record is from RNAcentral.